CCUAUUGUAGCGGGUAUAGUUUAGUGGUAAAAG
Molecule: transfer RNA, 33 nt
Filed under: Guaiacum sanctum (lignum-vitae)
Lineage: Eukaryota; Viridiplantae; Streptophyta; Magnoliopsida; Zygophyllales; Zygophyllaceae
Also listed under: 4 other names
Description: partial tRNA-Gly
Source: RNAcentral